GAUGAAGAACGCAGCGAAAUGCGAUACUUGGUGUGAAUUGCAGAAUCCCGUGCACCAUCGAGUCUUUGAACGCAAGUUGCGCCCGAAGCCAUUAGGCCGAGGGCACGCCUGCCUGGGCGUCACACGUCGUUGCCCCCCCAUCUACUCCUUCGGGAUUGCGGGGGGCGGAUGAUGGCCUCCCGUGCGCCUCGUCGCGCGGUUGGCAUAAAUGCCAAGUCCUCGGCGACGCACGCCACGACAAUCGGUGGUUGCGAAACCUCGGUUGCCCGUCGUGUGCGGUCGUCGCGCAUCGAGGGCUCGAAAAAAUUGCCGGGCUCCGGCUCGGCUUUCAACGCGACCCCAGGUCAGGCGGGGUUACCCGCUGAAUUUAAGCAUAUCAAUAAGCGGAGGA
RNAcentral lists this unclassified non-coding RNA (391 nucleotides) under soil metagenome. RNAcentral describes it as "partial contains 5.8S ribosomal RNA, internal transcribed spacer 2, and large subunit ribosomal RNA". The stretch from base 1 to 122 matches the Rfam family "5.8S ribosomal RNA", at positions 35 to 154 of the family's 154-position model. The record is from RNAcentral.